Long non-coding RNA from Manis pentadactyla (Chinese pangolin), 1363 nucleotides. RefSeq lists it as uncharacterized. The record is from RefSeq and is a predicted model, not a curated record. The transcript has 3 exons. Lineage: Eukaryota; Metazoa; Chordata; Mammalia; Pholidota; Manidae.
UGACCUGAGCAAACAGCUGGGGGGCAAGCAGAGAGUUGUAAGAAGACUCCUGAAUUUAUAAAAAGCAUGAAAUUCUAGCCCAGAGCCACUGCAGAAGACGGAGAUGCCCCAUGAGCAACUCCCUCUGAAUGGGUCUCAGGAAGAUGAAAGCUUGUCCUAUGACGUAAACGACCAGCUUCUGCUGGUCCAGCCAGAUCUGCCAGGCAACCGGGCUACAGUCCUGCAGGAUGUUUCAUAAGCCCUUAUUUUUCUCCUGGCCUUUAGAUGCAGAGGAAUACUAAUCUAUCAGAGGAUUCAGGUUACAGCACCACAGACCAUGGCCCCUGGCGGGCACUGAGCAUCUCACCCAGCUCACUGGGUUCUCCCAGCCAGCUCACUGACUUCCUGUUGAGGAAACUGACUCACACAAGUGCACCUGAGUCACAGAGAAUGUGAAGCUGAGCCGGGCCAGACGAGGGCUGCAGACUUCAUGAUUUGUGGCUUAGCCUGUGGAAGUGGGGCCCCCGCAAGGAAAGCGGUGGUGGGUCAGGAUGCCUUGGGCGACCCUGGGAGUCAAAAGCCCACUGAGGUGCCAACUUGGGCCUUUGCCAUCCUCCAUGCCAUGCCUGCUCGUUCUUGCCCCCAUGCACCGCCCCCUACCUUUCCUCUGCCGCACCUUUAGCUGCCCAGCAGGCCAGUCGUCCAUCCUCUGGGUCACUUUUCCUGACCACUCCUGCUCUCACUCUUUCCUCGCCCUCGAACUCCCCUGGUCUACGCCACUCAUCUUAGAACCUGAGUUCUGACUUCACCUCUGCUGUGGAGACCAUUUUCAGAGAGGGCACUUGGAGCCAGACAGAUGGGUUCACAUUCUGGGUCUACCACUUGAUAGCUCUCCGACCUCUGACCUCAGUCAGGCUGCUCAUACCCUUUGGGGCCUCAGUUUCCUUAUCCACAACAUGAGCAUGACAAUAUCCAGUUCAGAGUUGUCCUGAAGGACCGGCAAAGUGACCUAUGUGAGUGCCAGGAGCGCAGCCUGGAAUCCAGCACGUGGAAGAGGAAAUCUGGACACACAGAGCCACCAGGGACACGUGCACAGAUAGGCCACGUGAAGACACGCUGAGAAGGCCUGGAUUCCAGCCUCCAAAAUUGUGAGAAAAUUACUUUCUGUUAUUGUAGCCCCUACUCCGUGGUAUUCUGUUACGUAGCCCCAGCAAACUAAUUACAGGUCAUGACUGGUGUUCUUAUAAGGAGGGGAGAUUUGGGUGGAGAUACAUGUAGAGGGAUGACGAUGCGAAGAAGCUCUGGGAGAAGACGGCCAAAUACGCGCCAGGGACAGGGGCCUGGGACAGAUCCCUCCCUCCAGCCCUCAGGAUGACCCACCCUG